Molecule: ribosomal RNA, 477 nt
Filed under: uncultured bacterium
Lineage: Bacteria
Description: partial 16S ribosomal RNA
Rfam family: Bacterial small subunit ribosomal RNA
Source: RNAcentral
GAUGAACGCUGGCGGCGUGCCUAAUACAUGCAAGUCGAGCGAACAGACGAGGAGCUUGCUCCUCUGACGUUAGCGGCGGACGGGUGAGUAACACGUGGAUAACCUACCUAUAAGACUGGGAUAACUUCGGGAAACCGGAGCUAAUACCGGAUAAUAUAUUGAACCGCAUGGUUCAAUAGUGAAAGACGGUUUUGCUGUCACUUAUAGAUGGAUCCGCGCCGCAUUAGCUAGUUGGUAAGGUAACGGCUUACCAAGGCAACGAUGGGUAGCCGACCUGAGAGGGUGAGCGGCAACAGGGCGAAUGAGAGAAGGCCCAGAGUCCGAUGGGAGGCAGCAGUGGGGAAUAUUGAAAAAUGGGUGGAAGGCUGAUACAGAAAGGCAGCGUGCGGGAUGACGGCCUGCGGGGUGUAAACCGCUUUCCCAGGGGACGAAGCGUGAGAGACGUUAAUGGGUAAAGAAGCAACGGCUAACUAAGUC